This 291-nucleotide ribosomal RNA is filed under the name uncultured bacterium. RNAcentral's name for it is "partial 16S ribosomal RNA". It matches the Rfam family "Bacterial small subunit ribosomal RNA", at positions 373 to 657 of the family's 1533-position model. The record is from RNAcentral.
GGGCGCAGCCUGAUCCAGCCAUGCCGCGUGAGUGAAGAAGGCCUUCGGGUUGUAAAGCUCUUUUGGUCGGGAAGAAAUUGCUCGGGUUAAUACCCGGGGUAUUUGACGGUACCGGAAGAAUAAGCACCGGCUAACUACGUGCCAGCAGCCGCGGUAAUACGUAGGGUGCGAGCGUUAAUCGGAAUUACUGGGCGUAAAGCGUGCGCAGGCGGUUUGGUAAGUCUGAUGUGAAAGCCCCGGGCUCAACCUGGGAAUUGCAUUGGAAACUGCCGGGCUGGAGUUGGCAGAGGG